RNAcentral lists this ribosomal RNA (1052 nucleotides) under uncultured bacterium. RNAcentral's name for it is "bacterial SSU rRNA". It matches the Rfam family "Bacterial small subunit ribosomal RNA", at positions 60 to 1105 of the family's 1533-position model. The record is from RNAcentral.
AGUCGAGGGGCAGCGGGGGAGUGGCAACACUCCCGCCGGCGACCGGCGUAAAGGUUAGAACACGUAUGAAACCUGCCCGUAGCAGGGGGAUAAGCGGAAGAAAUUCCGUCUAAUACCGCGUAAUAAUCCUUGGGGGCAUCCCUGGGGAUUUAAAGGAGCGAUCCGGCUACGGAUGGUCAUGCGUCGCAUUAGCUAGUUGGCGGGGUAACGGCCCACCAAGGCGACGAUGCGUAGGGGUUCUGAGAGGAAGGUCCCCCACACUGGUACUGAGACACGGACCAGACUCCUACGGGAGGCAGCAGUGAGGAAUAUUGGUCAAUGGCCGCAGGGCUGAACCAGCCAAGUCGCGUGAGGGAAGACGGCCCUACGGGUUGUAAACCUCUUUUGUCAGGGAGCAAAACGCGCCACGCGUGGUGCUUGGAGAGUACCUGAAGAAAAAGCAUCGGCUAACUCCGUGCCAGCAGCCGCGGUAAUACGGAGGAUGCGAGCGUUAUCCGGAUUUAUUGGGUUUAAAGGGUGCGUAGGCGGACGGUCAAGUCAGCGGUAAAAUUGAGAGGCUCAACCUCUUCGAGCCGUUGAAACUGGCCAUCUUGAGUGGGCGAGAAGUAUGCGGAAUGCGUGGUGUAGCGGUGAAAUGCAUAGAUAUCACGCAGAACUCCGAUUGCGAAGGCAGCAUACCGGCGCCCUACUGACGCUGAAGCACGAAAGCGUGGGGAUCAAACAGGAUUAGAUACCCUGGUAGUCCACGCCGUAAACGAUGAAUGCUAAUUGUUCGGGGCAAGUGAGCCCUGAGUGGUACAGCGAAAGCGUUAAGUAUUCCACCUGGGGAGUACGCCGGCAACGGUGAAACUCAAAGGAAUUGACGGGGGCCCGCACAAGCGGAGGAACAUGUGGUUUAAUUCGAUGAUACGCGAGGAACCUUACCCGGGCUCAAACGACACAGGAAUGUUUUUGAAAGGAGGCAGCCCUUCGGGGUCUGUGUCGAGGUGCUGCAUGGUGUCGUCAGCUCGUGCCGUGAGGUGUCGGCUUAAGUGCAUAACGAGCGCAACCCC